Molecule: long non-coding RNA, 3321 nt
Filed under: Centruroides sculpturatus (bark scorpion)
Lineage: Eukaryota; Metazoa; Arthropoda; Arachnida; Scorpiones; Buthidae
Description: uncharacterized LOC111621154, transcript variant X2
Source: RNAcentral
AAUUUACCACCCUUGGUCUAUAUUACAAGCCAUACGGCACUAAGUUAGUUCGUAUAUCAUCACAAUAAAAAAAACGCGUUGUCAAUGGAAAAGUAGGCAAAUUUUAUAUGGUAAGAGUGAUGAAAAGUGACAAGAAAAAUGACAACAUAUUCUCCAAUGAUUGACCAGAUGUCUCCUGUCGCCGCCCUGUAAUCGGGCACUUCUCUCCCGUUUCCUAUUCCCUCUUUUAUACAACCGCACCAUUGUCCACGCACUAUUACCUACCCUUAGAAAUUACCAUGAAAAUGGCUACCAGUGUUUACAUUUUGGUCCAAGAAAUCUAACCUCUUUGAAACUCGUGAAUAGGGUCCGGCGCGAAGUUGGAGUUUACCACAAAGCUUCGAUACCGAGACUGCGACUUAAAGAGCUACUGAACUGCCCGCAGGCACUACCAAACUCUGCUUCCACUGCAAGGAAACAGAAUAAACAUACCCACAGACGGGUAUGCCGUGAUUGACAUGUAAUGCCGAGCCAAGCGAGUAAACAAUGCUUUUAAGGAAGCACAUAAGCUGGACCGUGGUAGAAAAUAAGGCAGAUUGGGCGAGUUUUGAGUGCCUGGCGCAUUGUCGUCGGAACCAGGGUGACUCGGCCAUCGACGACACAAGCUCGGAAAAGUGCAGUGGACAGCUUUCGACCGAUUAUAGAAGUCAACGAGGUCCUUUAUUUAGGGGAGGUUUUCGUUGGAGAUAAGAUUGUCGAGCGGAAGACGAGAAAAAAGAAGUAGGAGAAGAAAAGAGGCCACAGGCAUCGACGGAGACUGAAACGGACACGAGAUCACCAGAGUUCAGAGAAGGUCGAGCGCGUCAACCACUAGAAUGUUAGUUGGAUGGCCAAUUAAUUAUUCAUCCGUGUCUUUUGACUGCGGUAUGUCAUACAUUACAGAUACCGACAUGGAGAGACUGACAGUGGCCCCUCUAUCAGACUUUCGGAUCUCUGUAUAGCCCAAAGGGACGUCACUAACACUGCAGAACGGUGACAUACAGAAUAUGUUCUUUAUUCUUAAUUUAGUCAGCAGAUUCUUUGGUAUUUAUUCUGCAACGUUGAUCCGGCAAGCGACAAUUAGACUUAAUUAACUCGCAAAGAAAUCUUUCGACGAAAAACCUAACUUUUGUCGUCACGUGAUUGACACGGAUAAUGUUUUAGCGUAGCCAGGUUUAGUUUAUCCGCGCGUAUUCGCGAUUUACGCGAUUGCGGAUAGAAAAAAAAAAACAAAAGAAAGCGCCCGAGGCACGGAUAAUCCGGCAUUACAGUUUCGUAUUCUUUCUUGUUGCGCAAACAUACUUUAUUGUUAGUCUAUUGGGCCUUUGGUAGUAAGCCAGAAAAUUGGUGUUGUUUCAAAAUGUUAAUCCGAUUCUGGCUGAUAAGAAUGGUAUAAUUCAACCACUAUCUGACUCUAAACCAUUAUAGAUAGGGAGGUGCUUUGACAAAGAAAGCGAAUUGCCUUAAAAAUAACUUUCCAUAAAGUAUAUCCUAGAGCAUAUCUUGUUGCGUGACAGCAUUCGAUUUCUUCACUUUCUUUCUUCACCUUUACUUUCUUAUUUUUUUCUUCCUUUUUUUCUGCCAUUGACGGUCUAAACAGUAACAUUGAAAGUUGAACUGGCCGAGUAUAGAGUUACAUCGGCUCUUGUUACGAGUGUAUGCGGUGUCCCAUCGGGAAACCCUACAUGGUUGCCGGAACCCCCUCAAGUACCUCACUAGUGUCCAACGGUAAUCGUUAGAAUCGCAUUUGUCAGCAGUUCUCGCACAUGCUGGCACACCAAACUUCAAUUUUUUCCUUUCGAAUUAAAUUAUCUUCUAAUCCUUUCUUUUGAUUAUUUAUAAAAAUUUCAUAAUAUAUUACUUUAUAAAAAAAAACCUUAUUAAAAGUUCUCCAACAAUUCCUUACACCAAAAUCCUCUGUAUUGAAAGAGGGUCAAAAUAAUCGAGUCCACAAACUUUCUCAAUUCGAUUUAGGUCUGUUUUGCACCAUUAAAAGAAUAAAUAGAUCCCAACGGUCCAUAAGUUAUGGCGGAGUCAGACGUUUAAAGAAUUUAUACGAUAAUUUAAGGGUAUAAAUAACGAGUACGUCCUGGCAGCAGCGUGUACCAAAAUUACAAAUUGAGAUCCCGGAUUUUCGUACGAGCAGGGCACGGGCCGUGGUCUAAAAUAUUUAAAACCGGCCAAAGAACGAGGAUUAGUGAUUAGUCCAUCAACGGAGUAAUAGCUUCAAAAAACACUUUCUCUAAGGAUGUACAAAUUGUCGGAAUUACAUUAAAAGAAAAUACGAUGCUCCUCGGCAAAGGAAGCUGCCAGAAUGGACGAUGAUUUAGUAGAUGAAGAAGAUGAUUUGUGAGUAGCCAACGGCUAAAUCUCCGCCAUUCCGCGAUAACGAUCUUCAACGUGAUGGCGUAGUUGUGGUCAGGUGGGUGGAAACGUAAAAGAAAGAAAGAAAGGAAAGAACUGCCUUCCUCGUAUCUUAGGAUGGUAUCUGAUUAGAAUCAAUAAAUCAACUGGUCGAGUUUGUGUGAGAUUUCCAACCUUGGUGUUCAUUACGACAAGAGAGCCGCGAAAACAAGACGAGACGUUUACGACUUACUGUAAGAAGGAACAAACCACUCCACCCCUGGUGAUGUCGUAAAGUGUUGUCGCUGCUACUGGAAUUGUAAAACCGCAGGCCUUGUUAGGGUUAAAGUCAUUUAUCAAAGGGUCGUACCCAUAAACGACAACAAAACUAAGUUAAUGAAGCCACCUGACUAUCUCACCUGUACAUUUCGGUGGAAGCGGCAAAGUCCUUCCGUCGUGUCUGGAAGCGAUGACAUGUCUAAACAGAGCCAGUCGAUGCCAUAAAGUCGAAAUCUUUUAAUGUUCUUUCAGUCCUUUAAGCGCAUUACUGUUAAUCAAGCGAUUUGCUGCAUCAAAACGCGACCCAGUCAUAUCUUGGCAAACAACAGUCUUGCAAAGGAUUAUCUACGGGAUCCACAGAAAUAUCGUUAAAAAUGUUUGACCAUGUAGAGACUCCAACCACUUUAAUCGCUUUAUUUUGACUAUCGCGGCCAUAUCAAUUUUUACAAGACCGGAAACGCCAAAGUUUCGUUCGUCUGUGCAUCUGUCCGUUUAUAUGAAUCGAUAAUUUGUUUCUAAAUUUGGAUCGUUAAGAAAUUCGUGGCAAAAAGAAUAGAGGAAAAAAAAAUCUUUGGCCUUCUGGGAGUCGAUUCCUUUAAUUUUUACUUAAUAUUCUCAGAGGUAAUGGCAGAUCGGAGGGAGUAUUUUAUACUUUUUCAAAAUAAAAAUUAAAGAAGAAAA